ACUCCUACGGGAGGCAGCAGUGGGGACUCUUGGGGAAGGGGGCAGUCCGGAAUCCUGCAAAACGGGGGAAACCAAGAAGGCGUUCGGGUGGUAAAGCAAUUUUUCCGGAAAGAAAUC
RNAcentral lists this ribosomal RNA (117 nucleotides) under uncultured Ralstonia sp. Its description in RNAcentral is "partial 16S ribosomal RNA". The record is from RNAcentral. Lineage: Bacteria; Pseudomonadati; Pseudomonadota; Betaproteobacteria; Burkholderiales; Burkholderiaceae.